CGUGGCGGUUGACGGCAACGU
This 21-nucleotide small nuclear RNA is filed under the name Arabidopsis thaliana (thale cress). Its description in RNAcentral is "snRNA_13341". The record is from RNAcentral. Lineage: Eukaryota; Viridiplantae; Streptophyta; Magnoliopsida; Brassicales; Brassicaceae.